AUAAUGUUUGACAUGAUCUCCUUUCAUAUCAUCCCAGUCACGGAUAGACAGGGAAUAGGCACCUUUGGUAGUUUCACUUUCCCGGAUCAGGAAGGUACCUCUUGGGUUUCCAAAUGACAACAGCUGCCUCUCAGCAUCUUUUCGGCCAAGUUUGCCGAAGUACCACUCCUCUGCUUGGAUGGAAUCGACUGGAGCCACAUAAUUACUGGGAAUGUAACCAGUUUCGCCUGUUGUCAGGGACCGAGCCUCCCACCAGUCUCCUUCCGAGCUGUUAAGAAUUUGAAAUUUUUCUCCUUUAUGAAAACUUAAGUCAUCUUCUGUUCUUGCUUCAUAGUCAUAAAGCGCCACAAAAAGAG
RNAcentral lists this long non-coding RNA (356 nucleotides) under Gallus gallus (chicken). Lineage: Eukaryota; Metazoa; Chordata; Aves; Galliformes; Phasianidae. The record is from RNAcentral.